RNAcentral lists this unclassified non-coding RNA (338 nucleotides) under soil metagenome. Its description in RNAcentral is "partial contains 5.8S ribosomal RNA, internal transcribed spacer 2, and large subunit ribosomal RNA". The stretch from base 1 to 120 matches the Rfam family "5.8S ribosomal RNA", at positions 35 to 154 of the family's 154-position model. The record is from RNAcentral.
GAUGAAGAACGUAGCGAAAUGCGAUAAGUAAUGUGAAUUGCAGAAUUCAGUGAAUCAUCGAAUCUUUAAACGCACAUUGCGCCCGGCAGUACUCUGCCGGGCAUGCCUGUUCGAGCGUCAUUUCAACCCUCAAGCCCUGCUUGGUGUUGGGGUCCCACGGCCGCCGUGGGCCCUGAAAGGAAGUGGCGGGCUCGCUACAACUCCGAGCGUAGUAAUUCAUUAUCUCGCUUAGGGCGUUGGGCGGCGCUCCUGCCGUUAAAGAACCAUCUUUAACUCAAGGUUGACCUCGGAUCAGGUAGGAAUACCCGCUGAACUUAAGCAUAUCAAUAAGCGGAGGA